RNAcentral lists this ribosomal RNA (1719 nucleotides) under Odontella aurita. RNAcentral describes it as "partial Bacterial large subunit ribosomal RNA". It matches the Rfam family "Bacterial large subunit ribosomal RNA", at positions 24 to 1793 of the family's 2925-position model. Lineage: Eukaryota; Bacillariophyta; Thalassiosirophyceae; Eupodiscales; Odontellaceae. The record is from RNAcentral.
GUGGAUGCCUUGGCAGUUAGAGGCGAUGAAGGACGUGUAAGUCUGCGAAAAGCUGUGGUGAGCCGACAAAAUGCAUUUGAGCCACAGAUGUCCGAAUGGGGAAACCCACCUAUUUAUAGGUAUCGUUACAUGAAUAUAUAGUGUAACGAGGCGAACGAGGGGAACUGAAACAUCUAAGUACCCUUAGGAAAAGAAAUCAAACGAGAUUCCCCUAGUAGCGGCGAGCGAACGGGGAUUAGCCCUUAAGCAAUUAUGAACGUAGUGGAAGCCUCUGGGAAGUGGCGCGAUACAAGGUGAUAGCCCUGUACACGAAGUGUUUGUUUUUGUGAAAUCGAGUAGGUCGGGACACGUGUUAUCUUGACUGAAUAUGGGGGGACCAUCCUCCAAGGCUAAAUACUCCUAACUGACCGAUAGUGAACCAGUACCGUGAGGGAAAGGCGAAAAGAACCCCUGUGAGGGGAGUGAAAUAGAACCUGAAACCGUAUACGUACAAGCAGUGGGAGCCCUUCGGGGUGACUGCGUACCUUUUGUAUAAUGGGUCAGCGACUUAUAUUUAGUAGCAAGGUUAAGCGAAUAGCGGAGCCGUAGCGAAAGCGAGUGUUAACUGCGCGUUGAGUUGCUAGGUAUAGACCCGAAACCCGGUGAUCUAGCCAUGAGCAGGUUGAAGGUUGAGUAACAUCAACUGGAGGACCGAACCCACUAACUUUGAAAAGUUAGGGGAUGACUUGUGGCUGGGGGUGAAAGGCCAAUCAAACCGGGAGAUAGCUGGUUCUCCCCGAAAUCUAUUUAGGUAGAGCCUCGGACGAAUUCCAUUGGGGGUAGAGCACUGUUAAGGCUAGGGGGUCAUCCCGACUUACCAACCCUUUGCAAACUCCGAAUACCAAUGAGAACUAUCCGGGAGACACACGGCGGGUGCUAACGUCCGUCGUGGAGAGGGAAACAACCCAGACCGCCAGCUAAGGUCCCAAAAUAUUGCUAAGUGGGAAACGAUGUGGGAAGGCACAGACAGCUAGGAGGUUGGCUUAGAAGCAGCCACCCUUUAAAGAAAGCGUAAUAGCUCACUAGUCGAGUCGGCCUGCGCGGAAGAUGUAACGGGGCUAAGCAAUAUACCGAAGCUGCGGCAGCACAGUUUACUGUGCUGGGUAGGGGAGCGUUGUGUAAGUGGAUGAAGGUGAGUUGUAAAGCUUGCUGGACAUAUCACAAGUGCGAAUGCUGACAUGAGUAACGAUAAUGGGAGUGAAAAACUCCCACGCCGGAAGACCAAGGUUUCCUGUCCCAUGCUAAUCAGGGCAGGGUAAGUCGGCCCCUAAGGCGAGGCAGAAAUGCGUAGUCGAUGGGAAACGGAUUAAUAUUUCCGUACUUAUAUAAUCAGUGAUGGAGGGACGGAGAAGGCUAGGCAAGCUUGGCGUUGGUUGUCCAAGUGAAAGCAAGUAGGCCGAGAAUUUAGGUAAAUCCGGAUUCUUAAAGCUGAGAUGCGAGACGAGCUACUACGGUAGUGAAGUUGUUGAUGCCCUGCUUCCAGGAAAAGCUUCUAAACUUAUGAUUAUAUGAACCGUACCCCAAACCGACACAGGUGGUCAGGUAGAGAAUACUAAGGCGCUUGAGAGAACUCGGGUGAAGGAACUCGGCAAAAUUGUACCGUAACUUCGGGAGAAGGUACGCCCUUGUUUGUGAUAGGACUUGCUCCUUGAGCAGAUGAGGGCCGCAGUGACCAGGUGG